Molecule: ribosomal RNA, 1304 nt
Filed under: Salmonella enterica subsp. enterica serovar Saintpaul
Lineage: Bacteria; Pseudomonadati; Pseudomonadota; Gammaproteobacteria; Enterobacterales; Enterobacteriaceae
Description: partial 23S ribosomal RNA
Rfam family: Bacterial large subunit ribosomal RNA
Source: RNAcentral
GGGUUGUGAGGUUAAGCGACUAAGCGUACACGGUGGAUGCCCUGGCAGUCAGAGGCGAUGAAGGACGUGCUAAUCUGCGAUAAGCGCCGGUAAGGUGAUAUGAACCGUUAUAACCGGCGAUUUCCGAAUGGGGAAACCCAGUGUGACUCGUCACACUAUCAUUAACUGAAUCCAUAGGUUAAUGAGGCGAACCGGGGGAACUGAAACAUCUAAGUACCCCGAGGAAAAGAAAUCAACCGAGAUUCCCCCAGUAGCGGCGAGCGAACGGGGAGGAGCCCAGAGCCUGAAUCAGCAUGUGUGUUAGUGGAAGCGUCUGGAAAGGCGCGCGAUACAGGGUGACAGCCCCGUACACAAAAGCGCAUGUGCUGUGAGCUCGAUGAGUAGGGCGGGACACGUGGUAUCCUGUCUGAAUAUGGGGGGACCAUCCUCCAAGGCUAAAUACUCCUGACUGACCGAUAGUGAACCAGUACCGUGAGGGAAAGGCGAAAAGAACCCCGGCGAGGGGAGUGAAAAAGAACCUGAAACCGUGUACGUACAAGCAGUGGGAGCACAGGUUUACCUGUGUGACUGCGUACCUUUUGUAUAAUGGGUCAGCGACUUAUAUUCUGUAGCAAGGUUAACCGUAUAGGGGAGCCGGAGGGAAACCGAGUCUUAAUUGGGCGUUAAGUUGCAGGGUAUAGACCCGAAACCCGGUGAUCUAGCCAUGGGCAGGUUGAAGGUUGGGUAACACUAACUGGAGGACCGAACCGACUAAUGUUGAAAAAUUAGCGGAUGACCUGUGGCUGGGGGUGAAAGGCCAAUCAAACCGGGAGAUAGCUGGUUCUCCCCGAAAGCUAUUUAGGUAGCGCCUCGUGAAUUCAUCUCCGGGGGUAGAGCACUGUUUCGGCUAGGGGGCCAUCCCGGCUUACCAACCCGAUGCAAACUGCGAAUACCGGAGAAUGUUAUCACGGGAGACACACGGCGGGUGCUAACGUCCGUCGUGAAGAGGGAAACAACCCAGACCGCCAGCUAAGGUCCCAAAGUCAUGGUUAAGUGGGAAACGAUGUGGGAAGGCCCAGACAGCCAGGAUGUUGGCUUAGAAGCAGCCAUCAUUUAAAGAAAGCGUAAUAGCUCACUGGUCGAGUCGGCCUGCGCGGAAGAUGUAACGGGGCUAAACCAUGCACCGAAGCUGCGGCAGCGAACGUAUCACCCAAGACAACUUUACGGAGUUGACGAUUGACGGAGCGAAGCGACGUCAAAGCGUUCAUUAAAGUCGAGUUGGCUUAGGGAUACGUUCGUUGGGUAGGGGAGCGUUCUGUAAGCCU